RNAcentral lists this long non-coding RNA (1631 nucleotides) under Ananas comosus (pineapple). RNAcentral describes it as "long non-coding RNA (ACOM_LNC020957)". The record is from RNAcentral. Lineage: Eukaryota; Viridiplantae; Streptophyta; Magnoliopsida; Poales; Bromeliaceae.
UAUAUAUAUAUAGAAAAACCCUCCUUAUGGUUUCAAUUAUUUUCACUUUAGUACCCUGUGGUUUAAAAUGUACCAAGUUAGUGCCCUGUGGUUUAAAGUGUAUCAAGUUAGUACCCUAUGGUUUUGUACUUUAUCACUUUAGUACCAUGUGGUUUUAAUUUUGUAUCAAGUUAGUACCAUGUGGUUUUUUAAACUAUAGGGUACUAAAGUGAUAAAGUGUGAAACCACAGGGUACUAAAGUGAUAAAGUGCAAAACCACAAGGUACUAACUUGAUACACUUUAAACCACAGGGUACUAAAGUGAUAAAGUGAGAAACCACAGGGUACUAACUUGAUAGACUUUAAACCACAGGGCACUAAAAUGAAAAAGUGUGAAACCACAUGGGUUUUUUUUUGAAGUUUUCCCUACAUAUAUAUAAUUGAGCUAUAAUACUAUCGAUAGCAAAUGAGCUCCGUUGCCACCAAUUUGUUUUUGAUGAUGGAGCCUCCAAAUCGAUGAUCGGCACCGUUAAACAUGAUCUAUACCACUUGAAGUGUUUAAAAAUCAAAUAAAUGUUGCUCCGCAACAUUUAUUUAAAUUAUGCUAAUUAAUAUAUUUAGCAGCAUUACUUGAUAAUUGCCGCUAGAUUUAAAUAUUUAGCAGUAAUUUACUAUUAAUAUUGCAAAAUAGAAUAAAUUAGCAGCAUAAAUUAGUGAAUGCCGCUAAAUAUAAUAAACUAGUAGCACUUAUUGCUAAAUAUCGUUACUAAUCAAUAUAUAAUUAUUAAUAUAUCCCAUUUUUACUUAGAAUUAAAAAUUUUAAAAUUAAAGUUUAAAAUUCGAAACUUAUAAUUUUAAAAAUUAAACUUAUAAUUUAAAAUUUAAAAUUUAAAAUUUUAAAAUUUAUAUUUUAAAUUUGAAACUCUAAAAUUUUUUACUUUUAAUUUUUAAAUUUUUUAAUUUAUUUUAAAUUUAAAAUUUUAAAUUUAAAACUAUAAAUUUUGAAACUUAAAAUUUGAUAUUUGAAAAUUAAAAAUUUAAAUUUAGUAUCUAAAUUUAACAAUUUAAAAUUUAAAAUUUUACAAUUUUCAAAUUGAAGACUUAAAAUUUAAAAAAUUCAAAUGUAUAUAACUGAUAGUCACCGGCGCAAAUGGCAAAGGGCUUGGUGGUUGGUACUCGAGGUCUUAAGUUUGAAUCCUAAUUGAUUUAUAUUUUUGGCUAAGUUUAUUUUUAAAAGAAAUAAAUGAAGUAGGUAGCAUGCUACCUUUCUCUCAAAAAAAUUUAAACUAAAAUAAAAUUAAAAUUUUAAAAUUUCAGUUCCUAAAAUCAAAUAUUUGUAUUAGCGGCAUUAUAUUUAUGUGCUACUAAUAAACAACUUAAAAUUACCAUUUAAUCGUUUUUAGCGGCAUGUUCCUAAUAACACUAAUUUCACAUUGACACAUUUUUUAUAAAUGCUUUUAAUACUUUUAGCAAUAUUGGCAUAUACAGUAUUUGGUGUCAUAUGCUGCUAAAAAUUUUAGCAGCAUUUGUUGAUCAUUUAACAGCAUAAAUAAAUGCCACUAAUGACUAAUUUUCUCAUAGUAUUUGUAGGAAUAUAUCUGCAAUUCACCAUAUACGGGGACCUAUAUGCAAUUAAUCCUAUAUUAUAUAUG